RNAcentral lists this ribosomal RNA (496 nucleotides) under uncultured bacterium. RNAcentral's name for it is "partial 16S ribosomal RNA". It matches the Rfam family "Bacterial small subunit ribosomal RNA", at positions 29 to 507 of the family's 1533-position model. The record is from RNAcentral.
AUGAACGCUGGCGGCGUGCCUAAUACAUGCAAGUCGAGCGAACAGAUGAGGAGCUUGCUCCUCUGACGUUAGCGGCGGACGGGUGAGUAACACGUGGAUAACCUACCUAUAAGACUGGGAUAACUUCGGGAAACCGGAGCUAAUACCGGAUAAUAUAUUGAACCGCAUGGUUCAAUAGUGAAAGACGGUUUUGCUGUCACUUAUAGAUGGAUCCGCGCCGCAUUAGCUAGUUGGUAAGGUAAUGGCUUACCAAGGCAACGAUGCGUAGCCGACCUGAGAGGGUGAUCGGCCACACUGGAACUGAGACACGGUCCAGACUCCUACGGGAGGCAGCAGUAGGGAAUCUUCAGCAAUGGGCGAAAGCUUGACGGAGCAACGCCGCGUGAGUGAUGAAGGUCUUCGGAUCGUAAAACUCUGUUAUUAGGGAAGAACAAAUGUGUAAGUAACUAUGCACGUCUUGACGGUACCUAAUCAGAAAGCCACGGCUAACUACGUG